UCCAGCUGGCACAGGAUUGACUCCUGGUGGAACCCAACUCAGUGAUCUGUGCAGUGUGGUGUUUUCCAAACUGGCCAAGGUGUCUGCAGGGCCCUCAGAAUUUUCCAAGCAAGAAAAGAUUUGGCUACUUGGAGAAACUUCAUCCUUCUGGAGGUUUGGACUAGUGGCAUCACCUCCAGAAUCUACUUGAAGUGGAUGACACUGACUUCCAUGAACUGUUUUCCUGUGAGUAAUUUCUCCAUUUUAGACAGAGUUAUCCAUGGGAAGGUGAGUCUGAUCAAGCUGCUUGACCAUGAUCAGAACAAUUUGCUUCCCCAUUGCAUCAUCAAACUUUAAUUUAAAAAGCCCCACUUUCUGUCCGUCCCCAUAGCUCCUCCCUCACCCACCAAAAUGAGUCACUUGGGGCAGUGGUGGGCAGAUGAUUUCAGAUAUCCUGAUCUCAAUUCCCUGAUGUCAGUACGUCUGCACAUUCUUUGUUUUUUUUUUUUCAACUUUUAAGUUCUGGAGUACACAUACAGGAUAUGCAGGUUUGUUACAUAAGUAAACAUGUGCCAUCGUGGUUUGCUGCAAAGAUCAUAGCAUUACCUAGGUAUUAAGCCCAGCAUCCAUUAGUUAUUCCUCUUGAAGCUCUCCCUCCCCCAGCUCCCUGCUCCAAGAGGCCCCAGUGUGUGUUGCUUCCCUCUAGGUGUCCAUGUGUUCUCAUCAUCAAGCUCCCACUAAUAAGUGAGAACAUGUGGUAUUUUGUUUUCUGUUCCUGCAUUAGUUUGCUGAGGGUGAUGGCUUCCAACUCCAUCCAUGUCCCUGCAGAGGAGAUGAUCUCAUUCCUUUUUAUGGCUGUAUAGUAUUCCAUGGUGUGUAUGUACCACAUUUUCUUUAUCCAGUUUAUCAUUGAUGGGCAUUUAGGUUGAUUCCAUAUCUUCGCUAUUGCGAGUAGUGCUGCAAUAAACAUAUGCAUGCAUAUAUCUUUAUAAUAGAAUGAUAUAUAUUCCUUUGGAUAUAUACCUACUAAUGGGAUUGCUGGGUCAAAUGGUAUUUCUGCCUCUGGAUUUUUGAAAAAUCACAACACUGUCUUUCACAGUGCAAACCACCGUGAAACUAAUUUACACUCCCACCAACAGUGUAAAAGUUUUCAUUUUUCUCCACAAUCUUGCCAGCAUCUGUUGAUUUUUGACUUUUUAAUAAUAGCCAUUCUGACUGGCAUGACAUGGUAUGUCAUGUAUAUCAUUGUCAUUUUGAUUUGCAUUUCUCUAAUAAUACACUUAUUAUUUAGGAGCUUUUUUUCAUAUAUUUUUUGGCCGCAUGUGUAUAUUUUAAGAAGUGUCUGUUCAUGUCCUUCGCCACUUUUUAACAGUGUUAUUUGUGUUUGUCUUUUAAAUUUGUUUAAGUUACAUGUAGCUUCUGGAUAUUAGACCUUUGUCCAAUAGAUAGAUUGCAAAAAUUGUCUCCCCUUCUGUAGGUUGUCUGUUCACUCUGAUGAUGGUUCCGUUUGCUGUGUGGAAGCUCUUAAGUUGGAUUAAAUUCCAGUCGUCAAUUUCUGCUUUUGUUAUAAUUGCUUUUGGAGAUUUCAUCAUGAAAUCUUUGCCCAUACCUAUGUCUUCAACGGUAUUGCCUAGAUUUUCUUCUAGGGUUUUUAUUUUAAAUUUAUACUUUAAGUUCUGGGGUACAUGUGCAGAAUAUACAGGUUUGUUACAUAGGUAUAAAUGUGCCAUGGUGGUUUGCUGCACCUAUCAACCCAUCAUCUAUAUUAGGUAUUUCUCCUAAUGCUCUCCCUCCUCUAGCCCCCGCUGUGUGUGAUAUGCCCCUCCCUGUGUCUAUGUGUUUUCAUUUUUCAACUCCCACUUAUGAGUGAGAACAUGUGGUGUUUGGUUUUCUGUUCCUGUGUUAGUUUGCUGAGAGUGAUGGUUUCCAGCUUCAUCAUGUCCCUGCAAAGGACAUGAACUCAUCCUUUUUUAUGGCUGCAUAGUAUUCCAUGGCAUAUAUGUGCCACAUUUUCUUUAUCCAUUCUAUCAUUGAUGGGCAUUUGGGUUGGUUCCAAGUCUUUGCGAUUGUGAAUGGUGCCACAAUAAAAAUAUAUGUGUGUGUGUGUGUGUGUGUGUGUGUGUGUCUUUAUCGGAGAAUGAUUUAUAAUCCUUUGGGUGUAUACCCAGUAAUGAGAUUACUGGGUCAAAUGGUAUUUCUAUGACCAGUGAUGAUGAGCUUUUUUUCAUAUGUUUGUUGGCUGUAUAAAUGUCCUCUUUUGAGAAGUGUCUGUUCUGAUGGGGUUGUUCGUUGCUUGUAAAUUUGCUUAAGUUCCUUGUAGAUUCUGGAUAUUAGCCCUUUGUCAGAUGGAUAGAUUGAAAAAAUUUUCUCCCAUUCUGUUUGUUGCCUGUUCACUCUGAUGAUAGUUUCUUUUGCUACAUAGAAGCUCUUUAGUUUAAUUAGACUCCAUUUGUCAAUUUUGGCUUUUGUUGCCAUUGCUUUUGGUGUUUUCUCAUGAAGUCCUUGCCCAUGCCUAUGUCCUGAAUGGUAUUGCCUAGAUUUUCUUCUGUGGUUUUUAGGGUUUUAGGUCUUAAGUCCUUAAUCCAUCUUGAGUUAAUUUUUGUAUAAGGUAUAUGGAAGGAGUCCACUUUCAGUUUUCUGCAUAUGGCUAGCCAGAUUUCCCAACACCAUUUAUUAAAUAGGGUAUGCUUUCCCCAUUGCUUGUUUUUGUCAGGUUUGUCAAAGAUCAGAUGGUUGUAGAUGUGUGGUGUUAUUUCUGAGGCCUCUGUUCUGUUUCAUUGGUCUAUAUAUCUGUUUUGGUACCAGUACCAUGCUGUUUUGGUUACUGUAGACUUGUAGUAUAGUUUGAAGUCAGGUAGAGUGAUGCCUCCAGCUUUGCUCAUUUUGCUUAGGAUUGUCUUGACUAUGCAGGCCAAGACAUACAUUUCAUAUGGAAUUUAAAGUAGUUUUUCCCAAUUCUGUGAAGAAGGUCAAUGAUAGCUUGAUGGGAAUGGAAUGGAAUCAAUAAAUUACUUUGGGCAGUUUGGCCAUUUUCACGAUAUUGAUUCUUCCUAUCCAUGAGCAUGGAAUGUUUUUCCAUUUGCUUGUGUCUUCUCUUAUUUCCUUGAGCAGCUCUUAGCAGUCGUCCUUGAAGAGGUCCUUCACAUCUCUUGUAAGUUGUAUUCCUAGGUUUUUAAUUCUCUUUGUAGCAAUUGUGAAUGGGAGUUCACUCAUGAUUUGGCUCUCUGUUUGUCUGUUAUUGGCAUGUAGGAAUGCUUGUGAUUUUUGCACAUUGAUUUUUUAUCCUGAGAAUUUGCUGAAGUUGCUUAUCAGCUGAGGACACUUUGGGCUGAUACGAUGGGGUUUUCUAAAUAUACAAUCAUGUCAUCUGCAAACAGAGACGAUUUGACUUCCUCUCUUCCUAUUUGAAUACCCUUUAUUUCUUUCUCCUGCCUGAUUGCCCUGGCCAGAACUUCCAAAACUAUGUUGAAUAGGAGUGGUGAGAGAGGGCAUCCUUGUCUUGUGCUGGUUUUCAAAGGGAAUGCUUCCAGUUUUUGCCCAUUUGAUAUGAUAUUGACUGUGGGUUUGUCAUAAGUAGCUCUUAUUAUUUUGAGAUACGUUCCAUCAGUACUUAGUUUAUUGAGAGUUUUUAGCAUGAAGAGGUGUUGAAUCUUGUCAAAGGACUUUUUUACAUCUAUCGAAAUAAUCAUGUGGUUUUUGUCACUGGUUCUGUUUAUGUGAUGGAUUACAUUUAUUGAAUUGUGUAUGUUGAACCAGCCUUGCAUCCCUGGUAUGAAGCCGACUUGAUCAUGGUAGAUAAGCUUUUUGAUGUGCUGCUGGAUUCGGUUUGCCAGUAUUUUAUUGAGGAUUUUCGCAUUGAUGUUCAUCCAGGAUUUUGUCCUGAAAACUUUUUUUCUUGUUUCUCUGACAGGUUUUGAUAUCAGGAUAAUGCUGGCUUCAUAAAAUGAGUUAGGGAGGUUUCCCUCUUUUUCUACUGUUUGGAAUAGUUUCAGAAGGAAUGGUAUCAGCUCCUCUUUGUACUUCUGGUAGAAUUCGGCUGUGAAUCAGUCUGUUCCUGGACUUUUUUUGGUUGAAAGGUUAUUAAUUACUGCCUCAAUUUCACAACCUAUUAUUUGUCUAUUCAGGGAUUUGACUUCUUCCUGGUUUAGACUGGGAGGGUGUAUGUGUCCAGGAAUUUAUCCAUUUCUUCUAGAUUUUCUAGUUUAUUCAUGUAGAGGUGUUUAUAGUAUUCUCUGAUGGUAGUUUGUAUUUCUGUGGGAUCAGUGGUGAUAUCCCCUUUAUCAUUUUUUAUUGUGUCUAUUUGAUUCUUCUCUCUCUUCUUCUUUAUUACUCUGGCUAGCGGUCUAUCUAUUUUGUUGAUCUCAAAAAAACAGGUUCUAGAUUCAUUUAUUUUUGGAGGGUUUUUUGUGCCUCUAUCUCCUUCAGUUCUGCUCUGAUCUUAGUUAUUGUCUUCUGCUAACUUUUGAAUUUCUUUGCUGUUGCUUCUAUAGUUCUGUUAAUUGUGAUGUUAGGGUGUCAAUUUUAUAUCUUUCCUGCUUUCUUUUGUGGGCAUUUACUGCUAUAAAUUUCCCUCUACACACUGCUUGAAAUGUGUCCCAGAGAUUCUGGUACAUUGUGUCUUUGUUCUGAUUGGUUUGAAAGAAUGUCUUUAUUUCUGCCUUAAUUUCAUUAUUUACCCAGUAGUCAUGCAGGUUGUUCAGUUUCCAUGUAGUUGUGCAAUUUUGAGUGAGUUUCUUAAUUCAGAGUUCUAAUUUGAUUUCACUGUGGUCUGAGAGAAUGUUUGUUAUGAUUUCCAUUCUUUUGCAUUUGCUGAGGAGUGUUUUACUUCCCAUUAUGUGGUUGAUUUUAGAAUAAGUGCAAUGAGGUGCUAAGAAGAAUGUAUAUUCUGUUGAUUUGGGGUGGAGAGUUCCAUAGAUGUCUAUUAGGUCUACUUGGUCCAGAGCUAAGUUCAAGUCCUGAAUAUCCUUGUUAAUUUUCUGUCUUGUUGAUCUGUCUAAUAUUGACAGUAUGGUGUUAAAAUCUCCCACUAUUAUUGUGUGGGAGUCUGUGUUUCUUUGUAGGUCUCUAAGAACUUGCUUUAUGAAUCUGGGUGCUCCUGUAUUGGGUGCUUAUAUAUUUAGGAUUGUUAGCUCUUCUUGUUGAAUUGAUCCCUUUACCAUUAUAUAAUGGCCUUCUUUGUCUCUUUUGAUCUUUGUUGGUUUAAAGUCUGUUUUAUCAGAGACUAGGAUUGCAACCCCUGCUUUUUUUUGCUUUCCAUUUGCUUGGUAAAUAUUCCCCGAUCCCUUUAUUUUUAGCCUAUGUGUGUCUUUUUCACAUGAGAUGGUUCUCUGAAUACAGCACACAGAUGUGUCUUGACUCUUUAUCCAAUUUGCCAGCCUGGUGGUGAUGACAAAAUCUCUCAGCAUUUGUUUGUCUGUAAAGGCUUUUAUUUCUCCUUCACUUAUGAAGCUUAGUUUGGCUGGAUAUGAAAUUCUGGGUUGAAAAUUCUUUUCUUUAAGAAUGUUGAAUAUUGGCCCCCCUCUCCUCUGGCUUGUAGGGUUUCUGCAGAGAGAUCCACUGUAAGUCUGCUGGGCUUCCCUUUGUGGAUAAACCAGACUUUCUCUCUGGCUGUCCUUAAUAUUUUUUCUUUCAUUUCAACCUUGGUGAAUCUGACAAUUAUGUGUCUUGGGGUUGCUCUUCUCAAGGAGUAUCUUUGUGGUGUUCUCUGUAUUUCCUGAAUUUGAAUGUUGGGCUUUCCUGCUAGGUUGGGGGAAUUCUCCUGGAUAAUAUCCUGAAGAGUGCUUUCCAACUUGGUUUCAUCACUCCAUCACUUUCAGGUACAGCAAUGAAAUGUAGAUUUGGUGUUUUCACAUAGUCUCAUAUUUCUUGGAGGCUUUCUUCAUUCCUUUUUAUUUUUUUCCUCUAACCUUGUCUUGUCACUUUAUUUUAUUAAGUUGAUAUUCAAUCUCUGAUAUCCUUUCUUCCACUUGAUUGGUUUGGGUAUUGAUACUUGCGUAUGCUUCACGAAGUUCUUGUGCUGUGUUUUUCAGCCCCAUCAGGUCAUUUAUGUUCUUCUCUAAAUUGGUUAUUCUAGUUAGCAAUUUGUCUAACCUUUUCUCAAGGUUCUUAGCUUCCUUGCAUCGGGUUAGAACAUGCUCCUUUAGCUGAGAGGAGUUUGUUAUUACCCAUCUUCUGAAGUCUGUCAAUUCAUCAAACUCAUUCUCCAUCCAGUUUUGUCCCCUUGCUGGUGAGGAGUUGUGAUCCUUUGGAAGAGAAGAGGCAUUCUGGUUUUUGGAAUUUUCAGGCUUUUUGCACUGGGUUCUCCCCAUCUUUGUGGAUUUAUCUACCUUUGGUCUUUGAUGUUAGUGAUCUUCCGAUGGGGUCUCUGACUGAACGUGCUAUUCCUUUUUGCUUGUUAGUAUUCCUUCUAACAGGCCCUUCUGCUGCAGGUCUGCUGGUGUUUGCUGGAGGUCCACUCCAGACCCUGUUUUCCUGGGUAUCACCGGCAGCGGCUGCAGAACAGCAAAGAUUGCUGCCUGUUCUUUCCUCUGGAAGCUUUGUCCGAGAGGGGCACCUGCCAGAUGCCAGCCAGAGCUCUCCUAUAUGAGGUGUAUGUUAGGCCCUACUGGGAGGUGUCUUCCUGUCAGGAUACACGGGGGUGAGCGACCCACUUGAGGAGGCAGUCUGACCCUUAGCAGAGCUUGAACACUGUGCCAGGACAUCUGCUGCUGUCUUCAGAGCCAUCAGGCAGGGACAUUUAACUCUGCUGAAGUUGUGCCCACAGCCACCCCUUCCCCCCAGGUACUCUGUCAGCCCCUGACUUCGACUGCUGCCUUAUUUUCAGAGAUGCCCUGCCCAGAGAGAAGGAAUCUAGAGAGGCAGUCUGGCCACAGUGGACUUGCUGAGCUGUGGUGGGCUCCGCCCAUUUCUAACUUCCCAGUGGCUUUCUUUACACUGUGAGGGUAAAACUGCCUACCCAUGCUUCACCAAUGGCAGACAUCCCUCCCCUCACCAAACUUGAGCUUCCCAGGUCAACCUCAGACUGCUGUGCCUACAGCGAGAAUUUCAUGCCAGUGGAUCUUAGCUUGCUAGGCUCCAUUCAAGUGGGACCCACCAAGCUAUACCACUUGGCUCCCUGGCUUCAGUCCCCUUUCCAGGGGAGUGAAUGGUUCUGUCUCAGUGGCAUUCCAGGUGCCACCGUGUUAUGAAAAAAAACUGCGGCUAGCUCAGUGUCUGCCCAAACGGCUGCCCACUUUUGUGCUUGAAAUCCAGGGUCCUGGUGGUGUAGGCACUGGAGGGAAUCUCCUGGCCUGGGGGUUGUGAAGACCAUGGGGAAAACAGUAUCUGGGUCGGAGUGCAUCAUUCCUCAUGGCGCAGUCCCUCAUGGCUCCCUUUGGGUAGGGGUGAGAAUUCCCCGACGUUUUGCACUUCAAGGGUGAGGCGAUGUCCCACCCUGCUUCUGCUCUCCCUCCAUGGGCUGCACCCACUGUCCAACCAGUCCCAUUGAGAUGAACCAGGUGCCUCAGUUGGAAAUGCAGAAAUCACCACCUUCUGUGUCAGUCUCGCUGGGAGCUGCAGACUGGAGCUCUUCCUAUUCAGCCAUCUUGCCAGAAGUCCUCCAUUUUUUUACAUUGGUAGAGUAUAACCCUCAUUGACAAAAUCAACCUUCUGUCAGAAUAACACCUCAUUCUCUGAGGCAAAUGUACUUGUAACAGGCAUAAUAGAGCAUCUGGCAUGUUAGAAGUGUUGUAGAUCUUGAUGUGAAUGGUGUUUAUGAAAGUUUAUACACGUGUAAAUAUUCAUUAAUGUUUAUACUUAAUAUGAUUGCUCUUAACUGCAUUUAUUUUAUAUUUCAACAGAGCAAAAGAAAACAUGAAAGAACUAGAUAUGCAAAAAAAUAAAAUGACAUACCAAGUAUAGUGGUGCAUGCCUGUAGCCCUAGCUUCUUGGGAAGCUGAGAUGGGAGCAUUGCUUCUGCUUAGGCAUUUGAGUUAUGCCUGGGUAACAUAGGGAGACCCCAUGUCUAAAUAGAAAUAAAAACAAGACACAUAGAGAAGUUUGAGAAUAAAAUAUAGACAACAGAAUAAAACCCCACAUUAACAUAAAUCUUGGAAUUCUCUGAAAGUUGUAUAACAGUAAAUGUUACUACAUAUAUAUAGAAAUAAAUUCAAAGGUAAAUAAUACCAGCAUAACAAUAUAAAAUAUUUUAAAAUAUUAAAUGAACAUUUUGCAACUAAAAAUACACUAACUAUAGCGAAUUGCUUAAUGAAUGGGUUUAAUACCAGAUAUUUCAUAGCUAAAUAAUUCAUAAAUUGGAAAAUAAAUGAGAAAACAACAUACAGUCUUAAGAAAAAAAUAUAGAGAAAAGGCAAUGAAGAAGCUUAUAGAGCUUAGGUUGAAAUUAGACUUCCCAAGGAGAGAUAAGAUAGAAUGGAGAAGAAGCUAUUGAACAGAUAAACACCUGGAAUUUUUCAGAGCAGAUUAAAGAUAUUGGGUUACAUAUUGGAGGAGAACUAUGAGCCUGAAACCAGAUAUAAGAAAACAUGUUUAGGCAGAAAAUAUUCAAAAGACUAUAAAACACAUAUUAAAGAAAGUUCCUAAAAAUUGAAAGAGAACAAAAUGCAUUUCCUUUCAAAGUAACAAUACUAUUGCUAACUUCUAAAUAAAAGCAAUGAAAUUCAGAAGAUGAUAGAAUAAUAUCAUCUAAAUGCUAAAAGGAAAUAACUGCCAGUCUAUAAUACUUUAUCCAGCAAAAAAAAUUCUUUAAUGAUGAAGAAAAGAAAACCAGACAGGACUUCGAUAAGAAAAUACAGGACUUGAACAAUACUAUAAUCAGUUGGACCUAACAGACACAUGCAAAGCACUCCACACAACAGUAACAAAAAACCACAUUUUUCUCAAUGCAUAUGGAAACUUCUCCAAGAUGCAACAUAUGUUAGUAAUAUAUGAGUUUUAAAAAGUUAUUUAGGCAGAUAGUGAGAGCACAGGAGUCCUCAGUAAGGUUUUCCUUUUAAUGAAAAGCAGCCCAAAAUACUUUCUUUUCCUACAAAUAGCAGACUGUAAAAUGACUUGCAGACAUAGAGAAACAAGCUGGAAGCUUGCACUGGUGAAUGCCAUCAGUUGUGCUAAUAAGAAAAGGCUGCCUGGGACUGGGCACAUUCAAAAUGUCAGUUCCAUCUUCCCUUCUCUUUGCCAGCCACAUGUACAGUAAGGAGCAGGGAACAUGGCAUUAGUCAAGCAAAGAUCCCAUUUGCAUAAUAAGACGAUUAGGAUGGGAUGGCCAGCUUCCCCAUGCACUAUGUAAACCUCACCCCUGGUCCAACCAAUCUGUGGGCUCUAUGUAAAUUAGACACUGCUUCCUCAAGCCUGUCUGUAAAAUCUGGUUCACUCUGCCAUGGGGCAGAAUUCUUAUUUGGACGCCCCCUCUCUCACAAGAGAGAGAGCUAUUCUCCUUUCUCUUUCUUUGGAAAUAAAACUUCUACUCCUAAACUCACUCCUUGUGUGUGUCCAUGCCCUUAGACUUCUUGUUGCAAGACGAUGAACCUCAGGUAUUUACCUUAGACAACAAUGCAUCUUCAUACUGGGGGUGUGUCCAGGAUCCCAAGGUACUUUCAUUGGAAUGUUGAAUACAGGAGUGAAACUCAACUCUGUCCUUUCAUUUCAAGGCUCUCAGCCUCCAUUUUAGAAUCAAAUCAUACCAAAUACUGGGCUCCCUUCAGUCAUUUAAAAAUAAUUAGCAUGGCUGCCAGCUUUACAAGACAUGGGGGAGAGGCUUGCUGGGGAAAACAUGUAGAAUCCCCCAGUACCCACACGUUGCUGGGCAUAUUGGCCAUGUUUGAACCAGUUUUCUUUCAGAGGACCUAGCAAUUGAAUGGGGCUGGAAAAAGUUCUGAAGCAACUGAGGAUUUCUGGCGGAAGCUACUCCCUGGUGUUGUUCAAAGGAUUUGGACUGACCUCAUCCUCUGACUGCCUGACAGAGUGUCAGCAACAGGAUCUCCAGCUUUCAUACUAUAAUUUCCUCCAUUCCUGUCUGCAACCACCAUGUCUCCCAUCCUCUCUCUCUUUGUAUGCAAUGCCACAGCAAUUUUACAGUUCAGGGAAGUAAUCUUGUUAGGUAAGAUCAGGAAAUGCCAUAGUAACUGAAGGUGUAGCUCAAGGGAAUGCCGUUGUAAUUUUCUAGGAAUAGAGGGUCCCUCAUCACAGUGAAGUCACUCUCUGCCCUUGGUCUGGAGAGCAUAUGGCAUUUCCAGGUAACACUCUACCCUUGUCUGGAGAGCACAUGGCAUUUGAAGUUCACUCUCUGCCCUUGGUAUGGAGAGCACAUGACAUGUCAUGGUCACCCUGUGCCCUUAGUCUAGAGAUCACAUGGCAUUUCAAGGUCAACAGCGCCACCUAGUGGGAUGGGAAUUCUCUCCAUGAAGCACAUUGUUGGUCCUCUGCCAAAACACUCUAGCCUCCAAAUUCUCCUCCCUUUUUGUGCCCCUCUGCUAGAGACCAGGCUUCAUGCUGCUUCUGUGAACAGGAAAACUCUGCCUUCAACAACAAUUAGGAGUAAAAUGUCCUCCAAAGACAAAGUUGUUUAGUUUCGAUACUGUCCCAUCAACUAGAAAACUGCCAUUUGGUCCCUAUGUUCUUUUAAGGCACCUAUUCUGCCUCCAAUUAAAAUGGUACUGAAAUAGUAAGGGGAUUUUUUUUCUUUUUCUUUUUUAAUUAAAUUAAUUAUACUUUAAAUUCUAGGGUACAUGUGCACAACGUGCAGGUUUGUUACAUAUGUAUACAUGUGCCAUGUUGGUGUGCUGCACCCAUUAACUCGUCAUUUACAUUAGGUAUAUUUCCUAAUGCUAUCCCUCUCCCCUACCCCCACCCCAUGACAGGCCCCAGUGUGUGAUGUUCCCCUUCCUGUUCCAAGUGUUCUCACUGUUCAAUUCCCACCUAUGACUGAGAACAUGUGGUGUUGGGUUUUUUGUUCUUGUGAUUGAUAGUUUGCUGAGAAUGAUGGUUUCCAGCUUCAUCCAUGUCACUACAAAGGACAUGAACUCAUCCUUUUUUAUGGCUGCAUAGUAUUCCAUGGUGUCUAUGUGCCACAUUUUCUUACUCCAGUCUAUCAUUGAUGGACAUUUGGGUUUGUUCCAAGUCUUUGCUAUUGUAAAUAUACGUGUGCAUGUGCCUUUAUAGCAGCAUAAUUUAUAAUCCUUUGGGUAUACGCCCAGUAGUGGAAUGGCUGGGUCAAAUGAUAUUUCUAGUUCUAGAUCCUUUCUGCACAGCAAAAGAAACUACCAUCAGAGUGAACAGGCAACCUACAGAAUGGGAGAAAAUUUUUGCAACCCUCUUGUCUGACAAAGGGCUAAUAUCCAGGAUCUACAGAGAACUCAAACAAAUUUACAAGAAAAAAAACAAACAACCCCAUCAACAAGUGGGCAAAGGAUACGAACAGACACUUCUCAAAAGAAGACAUUUAUGCAGCCAACAGACACAUGAAAAAAUGCUCAUCAUCACUGGCCAUCAGAGAAAUGCAAACCAAAACCACAGUGAGAUACCAUCUCACACCAGUUAGAAUGGCAAUCAGCAAGGGGAUUUCAAGUUUGGAAGUUAAUUGGAACCAUUCUCUAAGGGUAAACGCUUUAACAUGGGCCAUAAUAAGCAGGAUAUAGAGUUCAAUCUAGCAUGCACUAUCCAUUA
RNAcentral lists this long non-coding RNA (11637 nucleotides) under Homo sapiens (human). Its description in RNAcentral is "HSALNT0359369". The record is from RNAcentral. Lineage: Eukaryota; Metazoa; Chordata; Mammalia; Primates; Hominidae.